RNAcentral lists this long non-coding RNA (213 nucleotides) under Elaeis guineensis (African oil palm). Its description in RNAcentral is "long non-coding RNA (EGUI_LNC018054)". The record is from RNAcentral. Lineage: Eukaryota; Viridiplantae; Streptophyta; Magnoliopsida; Arecales; Arecaceae.
GGGGGAACCCUAAGAUGGCCCAAAGAUUGAGGGUCGAGUUUGUAUUUAUUCUAAAUAAUUUUUAUUUAUCAUCAUAAAGUUUAUGUUUAGUAUGUUGAGUUUAUAUUUAUUUCAAGGAGUUUAUGUUUAUUUUGAAGAUUUUUGUGUUUAUUCUUGCAUAGGAGCCACCAAGGCUAUGAAUAUGGAGGAUUUGUUUGUAUUGAUCCUAAGUCA